This 488-nucleotide ribosomal RNA is filed under the name uncultured Corynebacterium sp. Its description in RNAcentral is "partial 16S ribosomal RNA". Lineage: Bacteria; Bacillati; Actinomycetota; Actinomycetes; Mycobacteriales; Corynebacteriaceae. The record is from RNAcentral.
CACGUAGUUAGCCGGUGCUUCUUAUACAGGUACCGUCACAAAAAGCUUCGUCCCUGUCGAAAGGAGUUUACAACCCGAAGGCCUUCAUCCCCCACGCGGCGUCGCUGCAUCAGGCUUCCGCCCAUUGUGCAAUAUUCCCCACUGCUGCCUCCCGUAGGAGUCUGGGCCGUAUUUCAGUCCCAAUGUGGCCGUACACCCUCUCAGGCCGGCUACCCGUCGACGCCUUGGUAGGCCAUUACCCCACCAACAAGCUGAUAGGCCGCGAGCUCAUCCCCAACCGCAAAGCUUUCCACCUUCCACACUAAAGAAACGGUCAUAUCCGGUAUUAGACCCAGUUUCCCAGGCUUAUCCCAAAGUUUGAGGGCAGAUCACCCACGUGUUACUCACCCGUUCGCCACUCGAGUACCCGCAGCAAGCUGCAGGCCUUUCCGUUCGACUUGCAUGUGUUAAGCACGCCGCCAGCGUGUCCUGAGCCAGGAGUCAAACUC